Molecule: non-coding RNA, 929 nt
Organism: Linepithema humile (Argentine ant)
Lineage: Eukaryota; Metazoa; Arthropoda; Insecta; Hymenoptera; Formicidae
Source: RefSeq, a predicted model, not a curated record
AAAAUAAGUUAAUUUUAAUAUUAAAAAAAUUGUGUGUAUAGUUACAAAGUUUGGAGAAAAAUGGAGAAAUCUGUAUCUAAAACUCUCUCUAUUUCUCAACAUGAACAGAACAAUAACCAAUUGAUUGAUUUAAUAUUACUUGAUGAAGUAACAAAUAUACAAUAUGUUUUAAAAGUGGAAAAAAAAGUAUAUAAUCGUGCUCAUAAUGACAUAAUGUUUGCUACUACAUUAUUAAAGAAAGCACAAACGUUACAUAAUUCUAAAGAUACAAUACAUAGUUCUGCUUCAUCAAUAAAGAAUAGUAAAUCCAGUUGUUCAAAUGUAACAAGUACUAUAGUUCCUGACAAUACUGAUAAUACUGAAAAUAUAGUUCACAACGAUACUUCUUCUAGCACUGAAAACAUUUCAGAUACGCUAAAUACUGAAGUAAAUAUAGAAAAAUGGGAACAUAAAGCUGUACUUCUUUUAAUAUCUUUAUAUAAAGAAAAAUCAUAUAUGCUGGGAAAAGGUUCUCAUAAAAAAAUGUGGAUAGACAUUUCCAAGUGUAUGAAGGAAAAAAAAUAUAAUUUUACAGGCAACCAAUGCAAUAAUAAAAUGGAUGCAUUGAAGAGACGAUAUCGUCAAAUUGUUGACCAUAAUGCUCAAAGUGGAAACGAUAGAAAAGAUUGGAUAUAUUUAGAUGUAUUAGAUAAUAUUUUUCGAAAAAACAUUGGAUAAAACCAUUAUCUGUAGCAGGAUCAAAUAUUAAAGAACCUGAACAUUCUCCAUUAACUGACAACAGUGAUGAGAAUGAAACACCAGUUAAGCAAAGAAAAAUCUCAUUAACUGAAGCAAGAGCAAAUUAUUUGACACUUUCAUUAGAAGAAAAAGACUAAAAAGAAAAGAAACUGCCAAUUAUAGAGCUACAAAGUUACAAAUAUUAAGAGAAA